Dreissena polymorpha is the source of this 1477-nucleotide long non-coding RNA. RefSeq lists it as uncharacterized. The transcript has 3 exons. The record is from RefSeq and is a predicted model, not a curated record. NCBI's taxonomy places the organism in Eukaryota, Metazoa, Mollusca, Bivalvia, Myida, Dreissenidae.
UAUAUAAAACUUAACAUAAUAACUUACAGAUAAAUUAUACUGUUUAGUGCAGACAAUUACAAGUAAAUACAUAAAAUACUGCCAUGUUCAUACAUUUCAUUGUUUUGUAUAUUUUGACAUGUUCCCAAUUAUUAUGCAAACUCGACGGUAUAACAAACGCCACAUAUACCUUACUUUGUUAUCACGAUUUUGUUAUUAAAAAAAACUAUGUUUGGGGAAGUAAGCUGACAUUUCAGCAGCCAAUCAGUCCUUUCCAGUACCAAAAGUUACUCGCUCUUGGUUUUCGACCCAGUACCCUUUUGCUGGACCCGGACUGCGUGUAUGACGCCACCAGCCACCAUGCGCCGCGAUCCGGAGAGAGAGCCCACAGAAACCGGACGCACAUAGCGGGACCGCGGCACGGUGCGCUGUUAAUCAGAGAUUGACGCGGCAACGCCAGAUGAUCAAGCUUGCCCGGACGCGAAUGUAAUGCGCAGUGACAUCAUCGACCGGAUCGCCCCCAGUCUGCACAUGCGCAGUGACAACAUCGACCGGAUCGCUCCAAGUCUGCACAUGCGCAGUGACAACAUCGACCGGAUCGCAACAAGUCUACGCACGCGCAGUGACAACAUCGACCGGAUUGCCCCAAGUCUGCACAUGCGCAGUGACAACAUCGACCGGAUCGCCCCAAGUCUGCAAUGCGCAGUGACAACAUCGACCGGAUCGCUUCAAGUCUGCACACGCGCAGUGAUAACAUCGACCGGAUCGCCCAAAGUCUGCACAUGCGCAGUGACAACAUUGACCGGAUCGCCCCUAGUCUGCACAUGCGCAGUGAUACAAACACCACCCAGUCGGCCGAACGCCGCAGUUUUCAGUUUCCGGAACAACGAAAACGUGUCCCACUCGGAGGUGCAGUACCUAAUACAGACUUAACUCGACGUUCCCGUACGAAGUAUCCAGUCGAUCCCCUCGAUAUCCGGUCGGCGCGACCCGGGGUCAACUCCCGCUGGGUCGUCGAAAAUUUGUACUACAGCGGAUAUGGCAAAAGCUAUACAGUCGGGGCUUCAAGUGGGCACGGACCGGCUGGAGUUCUACCCGCAUGAUGACGUCACUAGACGCGAAACCGCGGCCUAUAGAAACUACAUGGAGGUUGUUAACGCUCAUGCAGUGAUAGCGGCGUCUAAUGAUAACGCAGUGCGCGGGAAAACGGAGUUUCCAGCGGUCGACGUCACUCACGACCUUGAAGAUACUAUGAAGAUAUGAGCUAAUUGGACUUUUUGAAACUAUGUCAUCAUGCUAAUUUGUGUCGUUUGGUAUAUGUUCCAUAGCAUGUACCAAUAAUGACUCGAUUUUUCAGGUUAAGAUUCAAGAGGGAUAAUUUCAUUACCGCCAUUUUAAUUCAACCAUCCACAUACAUUAAGGCACAUAUACGCUUCCUUUUUUUAGCUGUGAUUAUUUGAUAAAGUAAAACUCUUUGGUUGCUCACUUGUAAAGAUUC